AUACGAAGGGGGCUAGCGUUGUUCGGAAUCACUGGGCGUAAAGCGCACGUAGGUGGAUCAAUCAGUUGAGGGUGAAAUCCCGGGGCUCAACCUCGGAACUGCCUUCAAUACUGUUGGUCUUGAGUCCGAGAGAGGUGAGUGGAAUUCCUAGUGUAGAGGUGAAAUUCGUAGAUAUUAGGAAGAACACCAGUGGCGAAGGCGGCUCACUGGCUCGGUACUGACGCUGAGGUGCGAAAGCGUGGGGAGCAAACAGGAUUAGAUACCCUAGUAGUCC
Molecule: ribosomal RNA, 274 nt
Filed under: uncultured bacterium
Lineage: Bacteria
Description: partial 16S ribosomal RNA
Rfam family: Bacterial small subunit ribosomal RNA
Source: RNAcentral